Molecule: ribosomal RNA, 253 nt
Filed under: uncultured bacterium
Lineage: Bacteria
Description: partial 16S ribosomal RNA
Rfam family: Bacterial small subunit ribosomal RNA
Source: RNAcentral
UACGUAGGGUGCGAGCGUUGUCCGGAAUUACUGGGCGUAAAGAGCUCGUAGGUGGUUUGUCGCGUUGUUCGUGAAAACUCACAGCUUAACUGUGGGCGUGCGGGCGAUACGGGCAGACUGGAGUACUGCAGGGGAGACUGGAAUUCCUGGUGUAGCGGUGGAAUGCGCAGAUAUCAGGAGGAACACCGAUGGCGAAGGCAGAUCUCUGGGCCGUAACUGACGCUGAGGAGCGAAAGCAUGGGGAGCGAACAGG